This is a small nucleolar RNA of Hydractinia symbiolongicarpus, 71 nucleotides long. The record is from RefSeq and is a predicted model, not a curated record. Lineage: Eukaryota; Metazoa; Cnidaria; Hydrozoa; Anthoathecata; Hydractiniidae.
GUGUAGUGAUGCUGUAGAAUUUCUUCACCUGAGAACAUUUUGAAGAAAAUUUUCACACUUAACUGAACACA